UGAAUCUGAAUGAAACUGGCGGUAAGUACAUAGUCUGACGGACAGAAACUUCAUAUAAGGCAUAUACCUAUGGGUAAGAUUGCUAAACAAACUAAACCUUAUAGCAAUAUUCGGAACGGUUGGUGUAAAUGGAACAGAUAUAAGAUGGAAAGUCA
This 155-nucleotide non-coding RNA is filed under the name Phocaeicola salanitronis. Lineage: Bacteria; Pseudomonadati; Bacteroidota; Bacteroidia; Bacteroidales; Bacteroidaceae. The record is from RNAcentral.